RNAcentral lists this ribosomal RNA (328 nucleotides) under uncultured bacterium. Its description in RNAcentral is "bacterial SSU rRNA". It matches the Rfam family "Bacterial small subunit ribosomal RNA", at positions 471 to 793 of the family's 1533-position model. The record is from RNAcentral.
GACGUUACCUACAGAAGAAGCACCGGCUAACUCCGUGCCAGCAGCCGCGGUAAUACGGAGGGUGCGAGCGUUAAUCGGAAUUACUGGGCGUAAAGCGCAUGCAGGCGGCCUGUUAAGUCAGAUGUAGAAAGGCCCGGGGUCUUAACCUCGGUAAUUGCUAUUUAGAAACUGGCAGGCUAGAGUCUUGUAGAGGGGGUAGAAUUUCAGGUGUAGCGGUGAAAUGCGUAGAGAUCUGAAGGAAUACCAGUGGCGAAGGCGGCCCCCUGGACAAAGACUGACGCUCAGAUGCGAAAGCGUGGGGAGCAAACAGGAUUAGAUACCCUGGUAG